Molecule: long non-coding RNA, 364 nt
Filed under: Physcomitrium patens
Lineage: Eukaryota; Viridiplantae; Streptophyta; Bryopsida; Funariales; Funariaceae
Description: long non-coding RNA (PPAT_LNC003223)
Source: RNAcentral
AGUCCUCGACUUAUCAUGCCAAAAGUCACCUUAUUCUAGCUGGUAGAUCUUCAGAUAUUACAGAAACCCUACACAAUCCCAAUCUGCUAACUUCCGAUAUAUCUUUACACUAAUGGUCAAAUAUCCUCUAUCUGUUUCGUCAAAUUAACACAAACUUUUGCAUGCACUCGGCAUACUCAACCCUCUAGAUACCUCUAAAUUUCAACCAAAGAAAUUUCUCCAAUUUCACAAAACAGUCAAGAUUACCAGUUGUUACUUUAUUGCAAAAAAUCCAAUUCACCAAUACAAGCACUGACUUUCAGCAACAAUUACCAAAGUUCUCUCAAGUCCUAUGAAAUCCAAUUCUAUACCUUUCAAAGGAGCU